UUGUUUCUUACUCUUGUAGAAAAUAUACAAGACCCGAAACGCUUGCAAAGCCAACAAACUGAUACAGAACGGGGUUCUGUUGGGGUUCUUUUGGCUUUGCAAGCGUUUUUGCAGUCUUGUGUUCGGUUUGGUGCAAAGAGCGGACCGAGAAUCUGUGGCAUCUCCUCCAGCUACUGAUUAGAGCUGGAAAAACCUUGAUGUAACAUCGAUAAUAUAGAUGUUGCCAAAAAUGUUGCAACAUCGACAUUCGUCACUUGCAACCGGGUAAAAGAGGAAGCAUCAACGCGUGGUAAGAGUAAUUGGUGGUGUUGGCAGGCAUCGUGGGAGAAUUAUGGACACAUUUUUUGAAAGAACAUGGAAUGUGUUUCUAUUGUCACCAUCGGCGUUUUCGGAACCACUGGAGUACGAACAUAAAAAAUCAAGAAAGCUGCUACGUUUCAAAAAUUUCUGGAUAUGAUGUUCUUUCCACCCAAGUUGCAAGUUAUUUAUUGAUGGAAUAUUUAAAUUAGAAAUAAAUAAAUUAUUAAUGGAAUACACAACCUUAACCCUAAUUUUUAGACUUAGAAUUGU
Drosophila albomicans is the source of this 570-nucleotide long non-coding RNA. RefSeq lists it as uncharacterized. Lineage: Eukaryota; Metazoa; Arthropoda; Insecta; Diptera; Drosophilidae. The transcript has 3 exons. The record is from RefSeq and is a predicted model, not a curated record.